This 236-nucleotide non-coding RNA is filed under the name Sporolactobacillus laevolacticus. RNAcentral's name for it is "T-box sequence". It matches the Rfam family "T-box leader". Rfam says of the family: Uncharged tRNA acts as the effector for transcription antitermination of genes in the T-box leader family. Lineage: Bacteria; Bacillati; Bacillota; Bacilli; Caryophanales; Sporolactobacillaceae. The record is from RNAcentral.
AAGAUGACAUUGACGGGGAAAAGUAGCUUGUUAUCCGUUCUCAGAGAGCCGGUGUUUGGUGGGAGUCGGUAGCGGAGAACAAGUGAACUCGCUCCUGAGUCGCUGGACGCCCUUCACUGGGCAUUCUGACGUUUACCCACGUUAUCGGGUAUCAAGUGAGCGUAUUUCGUAAGCAAACGCUAAUUUGGGUGGUACCGCGGGAAAUAUAACUAAGUAAUCAACCUCUCGUCCCUAAC